RNAcentral lists this ribosomal RNA (479 nucleotides) under uncultured bacterium. RNAcentral describes it as "partial 16S ribosomal RNA". It matches the Rfam family "Bacterial small subunit ribosomal RNA", at positions 28 to 506 of the family's 1533-position model. The record is from RNAcentral.
GACGAACGCUGGCGGCGUGCUUAACACAUGCAAGUCGAACGAUGAAGCAAAGAAUUUAAGCUUCGGCCGAAAUUCAUUUCGGAUUAGUGGCAGACGGGAGAGUAACCCUUGAGCAACCUACCUCUUACAAAAGGAUAGCCUCGGGAAACCGGGAUUAAUACCAUCUAACAUUGCGAUGAAGCAUUUCGAUGCAAUCAAAGCUACGGCGGUAAGAGAUGGGCUCGAGUCCCAUUAACCGGGUGGUGAGGUAACGGAUCACCAUAGUGGAGAGGGGUAACCGGACUGGGAGCGUGAACAGUAACACUGGGACAGGGACACGUACCAGACUCCUAGGAGAGGCAGCAAUGGGGAAUAAUGCACAAUGGGGGGGACACUGAGGCAGCGAGGCCGCGAGAGUGAUGAAGGAGUUCGUAACGUAAAUCUCUGUUCUAUGGGAAGAAAUGAAGGGAACCAUAGAAGAAGGCACGGGCUAAUUAGGG